ACAAUUUACCCAUUUUAUUUGACCCUUUGUUCCGCUCUUUUUUGGGUGGAAGAUUCCUAAUUUCCUAACUAAUAUGGGCUGGUUAACAGAAAAUAUAUAAGCAAAAGCCUCGAAAUAAAAUUGAAUAGGAUCAAAACAUCAUCCUUAUUGGGCAUAGAUCCAUUCAUGAAUAUAAAAUAAAGAAGAAAAUUGGAUUUUGCGGAGACCAUACUCUAAAUUUCGUAGACACAGACAAAGCAUGAACAGUUAAACACGUUUAUUUUAACUUUUUUUCCAAGUAUAUUCCAGCUUCUUAAAGCUAACUCAAUUCUCUUAUCUCACAGCAAUUUUUUUCCGAUACUAUAAUCAUGUAUUUGAGAGAUGGGUGUUCCUUGUUGUUAAAAGUGCGCAAGCCUUCAAUUCCCUUGGUGCUUAACACGAACCCAAUUUUCAAUCUUGAAAGUAAUUCCCAACCUCAACCCACUAAUGCUCCUUCUGUUGAAGAGUUCCAUGUAUUGAAGAGAUUGAAACAUGAGAGAGAUAUUGGUUUGGCACUUGAAUAUUUCAAGUCUUUGGCCAAUUCUGGAGCUUUCAAGCAUACUCAAUUUACAUAUCAGCUCAUGAUUGAGAAGCUUGGGAGAAACUGUGAAAUGGAUGGUGUUCAGUAUCUAUUGCAGCAGAUGAAGCUUGAAGGUGUGGCUUGCUCUGAAGAUUUGUUCAUAUGUGUGAUGAAUUCAUAUAGGAGAGCAGGGUUGGCUGAUCAAGCUUUAAAGAUGUUUUAUAGGAUAAGGGAAUUUGGGUGCAAGCCCACAGUUAAGAUAUACAAUCACCUUUUAGAUGCAUUGCUUGGUGAAAAUAGGUUUCAGAUGAUUAGUCCUGUGUAUAACAACAUGAAGGGUGAAGGGUUGGAACCAAAUGGGUUCACAUAUAACAUGCUUCUCAAGGCAUUAUGUAAGAAUGGGAAGGUGGAUGGUGCCUGCAAGCUGCUUGAAGAAAUGUCGAAUAAGGGUUGUCCUCCAGAUGCUGUGAGUUACACUACUAUAGUGUCUUCUGUUUGUAAACUUGGUCAAGUAGAGAAGGCAAAGGAGCUAGCCAAGGGGUUUGCUCCUGUAGUACCUGUCUACAAUGCUUUGAUCAAUGGCUUUUGCAAAGAAUACAAAAUAAAGGAGGCAUUUUGUUUGUUGAAUGAGAUGGUGUUUAAGGGCAUUGACCCAAAUGUUAUCAGUUACUCUACUAUUAUCAGUUGUCUUUCUGAUAUGGGAAAUAUUGACUUGUCUCUUGCUGCUUUUGCACAAAUGCUUGAGAGAGGAUGCAGCCCUAAUAUUCAUACUUAUUCUUCGCUCAUAAAAGGCUAUUUAUUGGGAGGGAAACUUGGUGAAGCUCUUGAAUUGUGGAACCUUAUGAUUAUGGAGGGAAUUAAGCCGAAUGUUGUUUCAUACAAUGCCCUCAUACACGGUUUGUGCCGCAUUGGGAAUAUGGCUGAUGCCAUAUCUAUUUGUAAUCAGAUGGAGAAAAGCUCUUGCAGUCCAAAUGUGACCACAUAUAGCACUUUAAUAUCCGGUUUCGCAAAAGCUGGGGACUUGCUAGGUGCCUCUGCAAUAUGGAACAAGAUGAUAAAUUGCGGUUGCCAUCCUAAUGUUGUGGUAUACACCACUAUGGUGGAUGUUCUUUGUCAAAUGUCUAUGUUUAACCAAGUUCAUAGUCUUAUUGAAAAUAUGGUUGCUGAUGGUUGCCCACCAAAUGUUGUCACAUUCAACACAUUGAUCAAGGGCUUGUGUGCUAACGGAAGAGUAGAAGGGGCCAUGAGUGUACUUCAUCAGAUGGAGAAAUAUGAUUGUUUGCCUAAUAUUAGAACAUAUAAUGAGUUGUUGGAUGGUCUUUUUAGGGUGAACAGAUUCAGAGAAGCUUGUGGACUUAUAAAGGAUAUUGAAGACAGGAAUGUGGAACUAAAUACGAUCACUUACAACAUUAUUAUGCAUGGAUUUUCUUCUGUUGGGAUGCAAGAACGGGUUUUCCAAAUUCUGGGGAAAAUGUUGGUGAAUGGAGUAAAUCCCGACGCCAUUACAGUCAAUGUAAUUAUUCAUGCAUAUAGUAAGUUGGGUAAGGUUAGAACUGCCAUGCAAAUUUUGGAUAAAUAUACUGAAGAAAAGGAGUUGUAUCCAGACAUAAUAUCACAUACUUGUAUCUUGUGGGGUAUUUGCAAUUGGUUAGGCACUGAAGAAGCCGUUGUGUAUCUUCAUAAUAAGAUGUUGAGUAAAGGAAUCCUUCCCAAUGUUGCCACUUGGGAUGUGUUAAUUCGAGGUUUCUUUAACAACAUGGGUCAUAUGGGACCAACACGUAUCUUGGAUGAUAUCUUGGGAAAUGGAUGACAAGCAAUUUCAGAUUCUUUAAUGAUUGAAUAAUGAUGGCCUUAAAUUAUGGUAAUUUUGUAGGACUUAAAUUCUCUUAUAUUGUUUAUGAACUUGAGCGAUCAGAUGCCAGUACCAAAGCACCGUCUUGGCCUGUUGGAGUUGAUGGUGUUCACCCGCCUACUAAGAUUCCUAUUCCAGUCCCGCCAUCUCCAUCAGCAAAGGGCAAUGAGCCACAGAGACGACCUCUACAGCUAAGUAAGCAAGGCCAAGUCCUUGAGAUUGCCAUUGAAACCGCUGCAAAUGUUAUUCUAGAUCUUAAGAACAGCCUAAAUGAUUGGGACAGUAAAGUUGGUGAUGGUGACUGUGGAUCAACUAUGUAUAGAGGCGCAAAAGCCAUUCUGGAGGACAU
Arachis ipaensis is the source of this 2739-nucleotide non-coding RNA. NCBI's taxonomy places the organism in Eukaryota, Viridiplantae, Streptophyta, Magnoliopsida, Fabales, Fabaceae. The record is from RefSeq and is a predicted model, not a curated record.